GCACUGGCACGGCGGCGGAAACGCCUCGCGCGAGGGCACCGCGAAUCUUCCGCGAAUACACAGGAGAAUAAAAAGAAAAUUUAUGCACGAGGAAAGCAAGGACCGUUUUUUACUCGAUCGUGACGCGAAAUUCAACGAGCUGUGACUUUCGCAAAAACAAUAGAAAUAAAGUGAUCCCGGAAGAAUUGUGUAACUUGUUUCUAAUAUUCAAAUAUGCAUUGGGAUAUAAAGUUUAUAUGUUUUCUACGUUGCUGCUGGUGAAAAUUCGCCGGUUGCCGAACUUUUCUUACGGAGCUUGUCGAGUUCAAAAUGUUUCCUCUUUAAAAUAUAUCUAUAUUGCAUUCCUGAAUAAAUAAUUGUUCGACGUAAGAAGACCCAGUGAAAAUGUGAGGUAAAAAAUCGGGAGUUUGCCAUUUUUUUAUUUAGUCUGAUAUAUUUCAAAAUAACAGCAAAAUUAUAAACUUGAUAUAUUUCAAAAUUAGAAACACUAAAUUAGAAAACACAGCAAAAUAUUCUUCGAACGGCUUUAUUAUUAUUAUUUUCGUCGGAGAUGGAGCGCAUUGAAUUUUUAUUCGUGCAAUUUGAAAAAUAAAAAAAACAUUUGCCCAGUUGUUGUACUCUAUUACUUGAAAAGAAAAAAAUACUAAAUCUAUCCUGUCCUCGAGUCGCAUUACAUGCUUAAAGAUACUAGCGGCUCGUAGCGGAGACUUUGGUACUAACAAAAAUAACGGAUCAAAUAAUCAUAAAGGGUCAAAGUGCUAACUUUUAGCCGAGACUCGAACCUACUUAGCCGAGAUUCAAACCAGCAUAGCGAAGACGCGCUAACAAAAAUAACGGGUCGAAUAAUCGUAAAGGGUCAAAGUGCUAAUUUUAGCCGAGACUCGAAUCUACUUAGCCGAGACUCGAAUCAGUUGAGUUCGACGAGCUUUUCUACAAUCCCGCUAGAUGGCACCGCAUUAGUCGUUUGAAUUUUUCGCACACAUUGCUAAUCAGGAUAUCGAAUAGCCUGCUAACAAUCUCUUACAAAACCUAAUGAAUUGCGUGAAUGUGUAUGUGGCUAUGUAUUUUCUAAUAUAUAAUUCCAAAGUCUCCGCUACGAGCCGCCACCGUCCAUAAUGAGGAAUUGAGGUUGUAGUACGACUCCAUGAUAAGUCAGAAGCACUUUUUUUCGAAUAUCUGCGUCUUGCGGACUUGCGUAUGUAUGUUAUACCAUCUUUUAAUAUAAAUGAUACGAUCCAGUGAUAGGUUACAGAUCGCUUUUUAUUUUGAAAUUUUGUAUCAUUAUUUUAAAUAACAAUUAAUGCUUACAACAAUCAUUUACCAAAAUUUACUCGUCUCUUGCGUGCGAGAACAGAAGUUUCAAGAAUAUAUUUUUAGCAAACAUCAAGUAACGAUAAUAUUACAUCAAUGUUAUAAUCUAUCACUUUUAAAUAUUUAACCGUUACACUGUAUGUUAUAUAAUUGUACUUGCAUUUUUUAGUAUAAUGUUGAUAUAAUCCUGCCGGUGUUUACCGGGUUAUUUACACUCGCUCUCAUACACAUUUCACAACUUUUCCUUUUCUU
This is a long non-coding RNA of Harpegnathos saltator (Jerdon's jumping ant), 1563 nucleotides long. RefSeq lists it as uncharacterized. The transcript has 2 exons. The record is from RefSeq and is a predicted model, not a curated record. Lineage: Eukaryota; Metazoa; Arthropoda; Insecta; Hymenoptera; Formicidae.